GCAGCACGAUGUAGCAAUACAUUGGUGGCGACCGGCGCACGGGUGAGUAACGCGUAUGCAACCUACCUAUCAGAGGGGAAUAACCCGGCGAAAGUCGGACUAAUACCGCAUAAAACAGGGGUUCCACAUGGAAAUAUUUGUUAAAGAAUUAUCGCUGAUAGAUGGGCAUGCGUUCCAUUAGAUAGUUGGUGAGGUAACGGCUCACCAAGUCCACGAUGGAUAGGGGUUCUGAGAGGAAGGUCCCCCACACUGGUACUGAGACACGGACCAGACUCCUACGGGAGGCAGCAGUGAGGAAUAUUGGUCAAUGGGCGAGAGCCUGAACCAGCCAAGUCGCGUGAAGGAUGAAGGAUCUAUGGUUUGUAAACUUCUUUUAUAUGGGAAUAAAGUGAGGAACGUGUUCCUUUUUGUAUGUACCAUAUGAAUAAGCAUCGGCUAACUCCGUGCCAGCAGCCGCGGUAAUACGGAGGAUGCGAGCGUUAUCCGGAUUUAUUGGGUUUAAAGGGUGCGUAGGUGGUUAAUUAAGUCAGCGGUGAAAGUUUGUGGCUCAACCAUAAAAUUGCCGUUGAAACUGGUUGACUUGAGUAUAUUUGAGGUAGGCGGAAUGCGUGGUGUAGCGGUGAAAUGCAUAGAUAUCACGCAGAACUCCGAUUGCGAAGGCAGCUUACUAAACUAUAACUGACACUGAAGCACGAAAGCGUGGGGAUCAAACAGGAUUAGAUACCCUGGUAGUCCACGCAGUAAACGAUGAUUACUAGCUGUUUGCGAUACACAGUAAGCGGCACAGCGAAAGCGUUAAGUAAUCCACCUGGGGAGUACGCCGGCAACGGUGAAACUCAAAGGAAUUGACGGGGGCCCGCACAAGCGGAGGAACAUGUGGUUUAAUU
Molecule: ribosomal RNA, 887 nt
Filed under: uncultured bacterium
Lineage: Bacteria
Description: bacterial SSU rRNA
Rfam family: Bacterial small subunit ribosomal RNA
Source: RNAcentral